RNAcentral lists this long non-coding RNA (7145 nucleotides) under Theobroma cacao (cacao). RNAcentral's name for it is "long non-coding RNA (TCAC_LNC004200)". The record is from RNAcentral. Lineage: Eukaryota; Viridiplantae; Streptophyta; Magnoliopsida; Malvales; Malvaceae.
UCAAUCUCACUUCCCUUAAAACACUUCGAAUUUGGGAGUGCCUUGAAUUACAGUACAUGCCAAAAGGGACACAUCAGCUUACCUCUUUAAAAGAAUUGUUCGUAGGGAAAUGCCCUAAUCUGAGGGCUUUGCCAGAUUGGAUACUCAAUCUCACUUCCCUUAAAACACUUCGAAUUUGGGAGUGCCUUGAAUUACAGUACAUGCCAAAAGGGACACAUCAGCUUACUUCUUUAAAAGAAUUGUUAGUAGGGAAAUGCCCUAAUCUGAGGGCUUUGCCUGACUGGAUACUCAAUCUCACUUCCCUUACAAAACUUCAUAUUCAGGAGUGCCUUGAAUUACAGUACAUGCCAGAAGGGACGCAUCAGCUUACCUCUUUGAAAGAAUUGUCCAUUGAAAAUUGCCCUCAUCUUAGGGCUUUGCCUGACUGGAUACUCAAUCUCACUUCUCUUGAAACACUUCAAAUUUGGAAUUGCCUUGAAUUACAGUACAUGCCAGUAGGGAUUUCUCGGCUUACAUUCUUAGAAGAAUUAUAUGCUGACCGCCAUAAUUUGAGGGCUUUGCAAGACUGGAUACUCAAUCUCACUUCCCUCAAAGAUCUUUAUAUUUGCGAGUGCCUUGCAUCACCGUACUUGCAAGAAAGGAUGCAUAACCUCACCUCUUUACAACGAAUGAUAGUUGAAUCUUGCCCUAAUCUAAGUUCUUCUAGACAUUCUCUCAAAACACUUCUAAUUCGGGGGUGCCCUGAUAUAUACUCCUGGAGAAUGAGGCAUUCUUUGUCCUCUUUAGAAGAAUUGAAUGUUCAAAAUUGCCCUAAUCUGGGGAAAUUGUUGUAUCGCAUAUCAUUUUUAAUCACUUGCCUCAAAACACUUACGAUUUGUAAGUGCCCUGAAUUACAAAACUUGCAAAUGGUGGAUCGCCUUACCUCUUUACAAGUAUUGUCAAUCAGUGAAUGUCCAAAAUUGUCGGAAAGAUGUGAAAAGGAAACCGGAAUCUUGUGGCCUCACAUUGCUCACAUCCCAUCUAUUAUAAUUGAUGGGCAACAGAUUCAGUGAUGAUCAUACAAUAUAUAGGUAACAAUAUUUUUCUGCACCUCUAUUUAUAUUUUCUCCCUGUACCUGAUAAUUCUUUUUUUUUCUUCCUGGAUUUGGAUGAUUCGUAAUUUGUUGUAUGCAUGUAAUCCAAGUUGACUAUGCGUGUAAUUUGUUUACUCUGCUACUUCUUUCUAAGUGGACUAACAAUAUUGAUUUUUUCUUAUAUAGACAAAUUUAAAAAAAUUACAGCAGUAUGAAUCUACUGAAGUUAUCAAAUUAUUCUGAUUUUUCACUUUGUUAUAUCUAAAUGUCUAUUUUCACCUUUUUCAAUGAUGUUAAUCUGUGUUCAGAGGAUAUUGUUUAGGUUGACCAAAAGUUUGGGUUUUCUGUAAGAGGUUGUCAACAGCUUUUUGUGCAGUGUUGAUGUAAUUGUUCAGUUAUCUUAUCACUAAAGUUAGAAUGCCAAAAGGAGUCUUUAACAUAAGCAUAAAAGGGAGUUGUGGACAGAUUAUUGUCAGUUGUUUCACUUCCCCUGUUUUUAUUCAUUGAUCAAUGCAAAAUUAUCUUUUAUACAAUGAGGCAGCCUUGGAUGUUUGUGUCAUAUCUUUUUAGAAGCAAAACCAAAAUUUAAUGUGAAACACUGGUGAAAUAAGCUGAGAUUUUAUAGGCACUUGCUUUUGUAAGGAAUAUGUUAACAUUAUUUCUUUAUUUUUUACUACGUGUUUAUAAUGGGAUGAUGACAUUUUUUCCAUUGUUUGAAGCAGGAAGAUUUCAUCUUGCCAAUUUCCUUCCAAAGCAGACUGUUGUUGAAUUGAAACCAAGAGAAAUUUCUAUUGGUAAACUUUACCACUUAUUUGGUUUGUUUUACCAAUUUCAUUUACUUUCUAUAAGGAAUCCAUUAACACCCAACUUCUUACUUCUUUCUGCGUGUCUUUAUUGGGAUUAUGGACUUUUUCUGAUAGAUUGAGAGAGUACGAAUUGAUUUCAACUUGCCAAUGCCAUUGUGAAGAAGAGUACUACAAUCCAUGGAUUGGAAGCUUUACUCUCAACAGCGCCAUCACUAUCUAUGUUACAGUUUGAUGGCAAUUCUAUGUGAGAGUUAAAUUUUACUUUUGAGUGUUUGAAUUCAAUAAAGGCUAGCUCGUGAAAAUAAUUUAACAACUUGACCUCUGGUGGCUUUGUAGAUGACAGAAAUUGCACAGCAUGCAACUCUUUCACCUUUUCUUCCCAAGAAGUAAGUGAUCUUGAAUUUAAGGUAAAUUAGCUUAUCACUUAAUGCUCUAUAGAAUUUACUGUGCAUAGAAUGUUGAAUAUUUUUUCAUUGCUAUAACGUUAUAAAAUUUUCAUUUUCUAUAGAAAAAUAAGAGGUAUCAUGACUAGCUCACCAACUCCCUUUCGAGGCAUUCUUGAAAUGCAGGUAUAUUCCCAAAGCAUAUCUAUUGCAGAAGUGAUGACUCCAUAUUAUAGUUUCUUUAGUUUUUGUUCUUGAUCUUUUGCAUAUCUUUAGUUUUUUAGACUAGUUAUUUGUGAAUGAAGGCAAACAACACUUGCUAAGUAGCGGCUCGAGUGAUUGGGAGAAUAGUAUGGAGUUGAGCUGUUUGGAAAACCCCUUUGCUUCUUUCAAAAUCAAUGUCAAUAGUUCCAUAUUGGCCGUUCUUUGAGGUCUUUGAACAGUGGCUUCAAUUCUAGUCUGUAGGCCUUUACUUAAUUAACCCAAACUGUUAAGGGGACCUAAAUACAAAUGUUCUUUCCAAUGUAUAUGGAGAAGACUUUUGGGAUACUGUUCUGGGAUUUACUAUUUGCUACAUUUGGGUGCUGCAAAGUGUCAAAGAAUUGUCAAUCAAAGAAUGUCCCCAAUUGUUGAAAAAAUGUAAAAAAGAGACUGAAAUCUAGUGGCCUCACAUUGCUCUCAUCCUGUCUAUUUAUAUUGAUGGCCAACAGAUUCAAUGAUGAUCAUACAGUACAGGUAACCAUAUUUUUCUUCUCCUCUGUUUAUAUUUUCUCUCUUUAUCUUUUAUUUCCUUCUUUUUUUCUUCCUGGAUUUGAAUGAUUUGUACUUUGUUCUAUACAUGUAAUCCAAGUUGGUAUACCGAUUGCCUAUACUUUGUACAGAUAGCAUACUUAUUGUGAAAGCAUUAAAUUUCAUACUCUUGUACGGAUAAAUUUAAAAAAACAGUAUUAUAAACGUACUUAAGUUACUUAAUUAUUCUGAUUUUUAGUUGUUAUAUCAAUUCCCAACUUCUUCUGUUUAACAUAAACAUAAAAUGGAGUUAUGGACAGAUUAUUGUCAGUUGUUUCACUUUCCCUGUUUUGUGCAUUGAUCAAUGCAAAAUCAUCUCUUAUACAAUGAGGCAACGUUGGAUGUUUGUGUCGUAUCUUUUCAGAAGCAAAACCAAAAUUAAAUAGAAAAGGAUCGCAGGACAGAUAGCUUCUAUCAUAGAGAUUCUAAAUAAUUGAAUAACUGAUGAAAUAAGCUGAGAUGUGAGAGUGAGUAUUCCUGAAAAUUUCAACUAAAAGUUUGUUAGAAUAUCCAGUCAAGACUCCGGAGCUGAAAGCUAGUAAUAAUAGAAACAAAUGUGAAAGUCUGCUUGUACAUUUCCUGCCAUAUUUGUUGUGAUGAGGAGAUAUUGCUAUAGGUAAUAUUUUCGCCUCUUCUUCUUGAUGUUGGCACUUGCUUUUGUAAAGAAUAUAUUAACAUCAGUUCUUUCUUUUUGUAUGUGUUAAUAAUGGGAUGAUGACAUGUUUUCAUUGUUUGAAGUAGGACGAUUUUAUCUUGCUAAUUUCCUUCCAGAGCAAACAGUUGUUGAAAUUUCUAUUGGUAAACUUUACCACUUAUUCGGUUUGUCUUACCAAUUUUAUAUGCUUUCUAUAAGGAAUCUAUUAACACCUAACUUCAUACUUCUUUUUGCAUGUCUUUAUUAGGAUUAUAGACUUUUUCUGAUAGUUUGAGAGAGAACAUGCGGAUUUCAACAUGCCGAUGCCAUUGUGAAGUAGAGUACUAGAAUCGGUAGAUCGAAGGCUUUACUCUCAACAGUGUUAUCACUAUCUAUGUUACAGUUUGAUGGCAAGUCUAUGUGAGAGUUAAAUUUUGCUUUGGGUGUUCAAAUUCAAUAAAGACUAACUGAUGAAAAUAAUUGAAUAGCUUGACGUCUGGUUUCCUUUUAGGUAAAAAAGACUGCACAACAUGCAACUCUUUCACCUUCUUUUCUCAAGAAGUGAGCCUUGGUCUAAUGAUCUUGAAUUCAAGGUUAAUUGGCUUUUCAUUUAUUGCUAUGUUAUAUAUGAGGAAUGUGCUUUGUAUAGAAUCCUCAAUAUUUUUGCAUUGCUCUAACAUUUAAGAUUUUUGUUUUCUAUAGAAAAGAAAGAGAUGCCAAUGACUUGCCUGCCAACUCCCUUCCGGCCAUUUUUGAAAUACAGGUAUUCUCAAAGCAUUUUUUAUGAGGAAUGACUUGCUUUUGUAAAGAAUAUAUUAACAUCGGUUCUUUCUUGUUUGUACGUUAAUGGGAUGAUGACAUUUUUCAUUAUUUGAAGCAGGAUGAUUAUAUCAUGCUAAUUUCCUUCCAGAGCAGACUGUUGUUAAAUUGAAACCAAGAGAAAUUUCUAUUGGUAAAAUUUACCACUUAUUUGGUUUGUUUUAUCAAUUUUAUUUACUUUCUAUAAGGUAUCCAUUAACACCCAACUUCUUACUUCUUUCUGCAUGUCUUUAUUGGGAUUAUGGACUUUUUCUGAUAGAUUGAGAGAGUAAAUAUUGAUUUCAACUUACAAAUGCCAUUGUGAAGAAGAGUGCUACAAUCCAUGGAUUGGAAGCUUUACUCUCAACAGCGUCAUCACUAUCUAUGUUACAGUUUGAUGGAAAUUCUAUGUGAGAGUUAAAUCUACAUUGAGUAUUUGAAUUCAAUAAAGGAUAACUCAUGAAAAUAAUUUAACAGCUUAACCUCUGGUGUCCUUUUAGAUUACAACGAUUGCACAGCAUGCAACUCUUUCACCUUUUCUUCCCAAGAAGUGAGCCUUGGUCUAACGAGCUUGAAUUUAAGGUAAAUUAACUUAUCACUUAUUGCUCUAUAUAAUUUACUGUGCAUAGAAUGUUGAAUAUUUUUUCGCUGCUAUAACGUUAUAAGAUUUUCAUUUUCCAUAGAAAAAUAAGAGGUGUCAUGACUUGGUCACCAACUCCCUUUUAAGGCAUUCUUGAAAUGCAGGUAUAUUCUUGAAGCAUAUCUAUUGCAAAAGUGAUGACUAUAUAUUAUAGUUUCUUUAGUUUUUGUUCUUGAUUUUUUGCAUAUCUUGUUCCUUAAUGCUUGCUUAUAACAAUGGAUUUUUGGACUAGUUAUCUGUGAAUGAUGGCAAACAACACUUGCUAAGUAGUGGCUUGAGUGAUUGGGAGAAUAGUCUGGAGCCGAUCUGGUUGGAAACCCCCUUUGCUUCUUUCAAAAUCAAUGUCAAUAGUUCCAUAUUGGCCAUUCUUGGAGGUCUUUAAACAGUGGCUUCAAUUCUAGUCUGUGGGCCUCUACUCAAUUAACCCAAACUAUUAAGGGGACCUAAAUAGAAAUGUUCUUUCCAAUGUAUAUAGAGAAGACUUUUGCGAUACUGUUCUGGGAUUUACUAUUUGCUACAUUUGGGUGCUGUUAAGUGUCAAAGAAUUCUCAAUCAAAGAACGUUCCCAAUUGCAGGAAAGAUGUAAAAAGAAGACCAGAAUCCAGUGGCCUCAUAUUGCUCUCAUCCUGACUAUUUAUAUUGAUGGCCAACAGAUUCAAUGAUGAUCACACAAUGCAGGUAACCAUAUUUUUCUUUACCUCUGUUUAUAUUUUCUCCCUUUAUUUGAUAAUUCCUUUUUUUUUUCUUCUUGGAUUUGAAUGAUUCGUUCUUUGUUCAAUACAUGGAAUCCAAGUUGGUAUACUGAUUCGCCUACACUGUGUACAGAUAGCAUACUUAUUGUGAAAGCAUUAAUUUCCUUCCAGAGCAGACAGUUGUUGAAUUGAAACCAAGAGAAAUUUUUAAAUAUAUUUAUCUGAAAUAUGUUUAAUGUUUGUUUAACAUUAAAUUGAAAUUUAAUGUUGAAUUGAAAUUUCUAAAUAAAUUUAACAGCAUUAAUUUGACUUUGGAAGAUGCUAGUAUAAGGCCUUUGCAACAAACAUUGAAGAUGACGAUGACCGAGGCUAACAAGACAUCAGAAGAAGCAUCAUCAUCAUCAAGGAGCACAUGUCAUUCAUAUUCUUCGGCUACCCUUCCUCUCUCCAUUUUGAAGCGUCUGAGACUUAAAGGCAUUAAGGAUUUAGAAGAUCUGCUAGAAGAGUUCCUACUGCCGUAUUGCCCUAAAUUGGAAUUGUUACUGCCGCAAAAGAUGAGUUGCCUCACCUUUUUACAACAAUUAUGGGUUGAAAAUUGCCCUAAUUUGAGGGCUUUGCCCGACUGGAUACUCAAUCUCACUUCCCUUAGCAGUCUUCGAAUUAAGGAGUGCCUUGAAUUACAGUCCAUUUCGGAAGGGACGCCUCAGCUUACAUCUUUAGAAGAAUUAUCUGUUCAGAAUUGUCAUAAUUUGAGGGCUUUGCCAGAGUGGAUACUCAAUCUCACUUCCCUUAAAACACUUCAAAUUUGGGGGUGCGUUGAAUUACAGCACAUGCCAAAAGGGACGCAUCAGCUUACCUCUUUAAAAGAAUUGUGGGUAGGGAAAUGCCUUAAUCUGAGGGCUUUGCCAAGCUGGAUACUUAAUCUCACUUCCCUUAAAACACUUGGAAUUUAGGAGUGCCUUGAAUUACAGUACAUGCCAGAAGGGACGCAUCAGCUUACCUCUUUAAAAGAAUUGUCCGUAGGCAAUUGCCCUAAUUUGAGGGCUUUGCCGGAUUGGAUACUCAAUCUCACUUCCCUUACAAACCUUCUAAUUAAGGGGUGCUUUGAAUUACAGUCCACGCCAAAAGGGACGCAUCAGCUUACCUCUUUAAAAGAAUUGUCCAUUGAAAAUUGCCCUCAUCUUAGGGCUUUGCCUGACUGGAUACUCAAUCUCACUUCUCUUGAAACACUUCAAAUUUGGAAUUGCCUUGAAUUACAGUACAUGCCAGAAGGGACGCAUUGGCUUGCAUCUUUAGAAGAAUUAAUUGUUUACUGCCAUAAUUUGAGGGC